RNAcentral lists this ribosomal RNA (405 nucleotides) under uncultured bacterium. RNAcentral's name for it is "bacterial SSU rRNA". It matches the Rfam family "Bacterial small subunit ribosomal RNA", at positions 357 to 774 of the family's 1533-position model. The record is from RNAcentral.
GGGAAUAUUGCACAAUGGGCGCAAGCCUGAUGCAGCGACGCCGCGUGAGGGAUGACGGCCUUCGGGUUGUAAACCUCUUUCAGCAGGGAAGAAGCGCAAGUGACGGUACCUGCAGAAGAAGCGCCGGCUAACUACGUGCCAGCAGCCGCGGUAAUACGUAGGGCGCAAGCGUUGUCCGGAAUUAUUGGGCGUAAAGAGCUCGUAGGCGGUUUGUCGCGUCUGCUGUGAAAACGCGAGGCUCAACCUCGCGCCUGCAGUGGGUACGGGUAGACUAGAGUGCGGUAGGGGAGACUGGAAUUCCUGGUGUAGCGGUGGAAUGCGCAGAUAUCAGGAGGAACACCGGUGGCGAAGGCGGGUCUCUGGGCCGUAACUGACGCUGAGGAGCGAAAGCAUGGGGAGCGAACA